AAUCGACGACAUCAGCUGCUUCAUAAGCUCCCACACGAAUUGCUUGAUUCAUUGAAGAAGACAAUUGGGUCUGUAGCUCAGUUGGUUAGAGCGCACCCCUGAUAAGGGUGAGGUCGGCAGUUCGAAUCUGCCCAGACCCACCAAUUACUGGUGCACCCUGUAGCGAUACGGGGCCAUAGCUCAGCUGGGAGAGCGCCUGCCUUGCACGCAGGAGGUCAGCGGUUCGAUCCCGCUUGGCUCCACCAUUACAGAUUGGUGUCCAUCGUUUAAAGCUUAGAAAUGAGCAUUCCGCCCAAGUGGCGAUGAAUGUUGAUUUCUGAUCUUUAUCAGAAUCGUUCUUUAAAAAUUUGGGUAUGUGAUAGAAAGAUAGACUGAAUGACACUUUCACUGGUGUUUAUUCAGGCUAAGGUAAAAUUUGUGAGUUUAAUCGCGAAUUUUCGGCGAAUGUCGUCUUCACAGUAUAACCAGAUUGCUUGGGGUUAUAU
RNAcentral lists this transfer RNA (485 nucleotides) under Pseudomonas fluorescens. Its description in RNAcentral is "16S-23S ribosomal RNA intergenic spacer". The stretch from base 67 to 140 matches the Rfam family "tRNA". Lineage: Bacteria; Pseudomonadati; Pseudomonadota; Gammaproteobacteria; Pseudomonadales; Pseudomonadaceae. The record is from RNAcentral.